Molecule: long non-coding RNA, 7319 nt
Filed under: Equus caballus (horse)
Lineage: Eukaryota; Metazoa; Chordata; Mammalia; Perissodactyla; Equidae
Description: lncRNA (ENSECAG00000029997.2)
Source: RNAcentral
AAGAGCUUUAGUCGGGAUUAAAUGCAAAACGCCAAAAUUUAACUUUUAAAAAUACAACGUCUAAAUGCAACCUAAGCACAUCUGUAAACCGAUGCAAAACAGGCACCGGUGAGAGCCCGCCCCUCGCCGCGCCCUCUGCGUCCUGCCCGGCUUUGUGCAAACGCUGUUAGCUCAGAGCUUCGGGAACGAAAAUCCUGGGAACUUUCUUUUUCUGGCUGGCAACGUGGAAGUUUGCGCUCACCCAGGGGAUUUCUCAUUCGCUGAAGGAUUUAAGUCCGUGUGUGUCAUGGAAAAUCCGACUUCCUCCCAGCUCAAGGUGGCCCCGAAGAGGUGGGCCUGGGACCCACGACUCCCGGGUCCCUGGGCAGGCCACCCUUCCUCUCUGCAGCCGCCUGCCAGCGCCCAACACAUCCGGGGGCUCAACAAUGAAACAGUAAAUAUCCACACGAAACAUAGAUUCUGCCGAAGAGCUCCACUGCAAUGCACCUGGCUUUCUAGAAGCAAUAAAUGAAAGUCUCAUAUUAAAAAAAAAAAAGAUUAAUGAAGUCAUGACGUAGAGAGAGAGAACACAGCAGAAUCCAUUGACUCAAGACAACGUGUGCAGAAGCAAUUUGCCUCUGAAACUCUAAACAUGCGACGCUUUGGUACUUCCUGGCAGCUCCUCAGGAGCUAGCAAAGAAAUACUUCCACAUGGAAGGAAAAGGUCCUUUGAAAUGUAGCUUGUUCUAUUUGAGAGAGAAACACAGCAAGGUUACUGCGGCUUCAGUGGCGAUAUGCAUUAUUAUUUAUUUUUCCAGUUCGAAAAUUGUGUGUCUUUUCAUUAGGACUCCUAGAUGGUAAACACCGAUCCCCACGUGAAUUGAAUUAGUCCAACCCCCUCCCUCCCUUGCUGGUUCAGGGAACAAUAGAGUAAACUCUGGCUGACAAAUUACGCCUUCAUUUAAUGAUUUGAUUAUCUGUUAAGUUAAAAACAAUCCUGUUAAAAGCCUGGACCCUACCUCGUAUUUAAUCUACAUUGUUACUCUUCCUUGUCUUCUGUUUUUGGGUUUGUUCCCCAAAGAUUAAAAAAAAAACUAUGUCACUUGUGCUCUGAGUUUGAAACAGACACGUGAUCAGGUCUGAUGUCAAAUUAGUAGGUGGCAGGAGAAAGCCUGUCGCAUGAUAGCGUGUUCUGCAGACGGCUUGAUUUUCUUUAAUAAAAAUAUUCUGCCUGAAAGGCUGGGAGUGACUGCGUAAUUCGGCCGCGGGCUCAGACCGGAGGCGUCUGCAGGCAGCUCGAAGCAGAGGAAACUUUUCUGCUCUGAGGUUUCGGAGGAACACUUUCAGCCAGACUGCAAACCGCCGAAAUGAAAGUGAAUCACGCAGACCAGUCAUACUUAAUCCAAGUGAAACUCAUUCAGUCAUUUCUUCUAUAAAUAUUUAUUGAAAGCCUAUUUUGUGUAAGAGGCUGCCACGUCCGAAAAGGCCAGGAAUUUUUUGCGUGAACUGAGACCCCCACGUGACAAAUAUGGUGGGCUGCCCUGUGUGUUCUGCGUGGACGCCCUCAGUGACUGCAGGAUCGUGGUGUCACGGCACAGGCCUGAUCCAGGAUUCUAGGGUGAAGAACAAAGUACAGCAGUGGUCUCAGGAAGAAGAGCCCACGUUCGAAGUUUGUAAAGCGACAGAACAAAGUUUGUUAUGAUGGAGGUCGUUGGAACAGGACAAAUGGGCUGAUCCCUGGCUGAUGGUGGGCCGGGACAGCCCCGAGGCAACGCCCCUGCUUGGCAUGAACAAGUGCUGGGUCAGCCCAGCGUGGACAAUGGGAAAAAUCAAGGUUCACAGUUGUUAAAACAACACCCCACUUCACGUGCUCAUUUGUGAAGUGGCAGUGCCGUUACUAACGCGGGUCUGUUCUGAGGAGCGACCUGUGAAGAUGGUUUCAAAGCACUUUGUGAUGAAGAGAAUGUUCUAUAAGUGGGUACUGAAAAUAAUCAAGACAUUCAUGGAUCCAAACAGGCCACAGAAACACCAUAGCAACAAAUGAACAAUAAUUGCUGCCUUACAGGCUAUUUCCUCAGCGACGCUCUCAUUCAAUCAGCACUCACGCCGUGUGCUCAGGAGGAGCGCAGGUCAGGUCUGGCUGCCACCAUCCAUGAAGAGGGUGUGCAGAACCAGACCAGGGUGGGGGCAAGAGGAAAGGUGGGUUUGUUCCCUCAUUUCCUUCCUCUCAGCUUCCUGCCCACUUAUUCCCUGACAUCUCCUCAGCACCGACAGAGAUGUGGUAGGUCUGGGCAUCCCGCACCCCAAGCCACUUAAUCCAAGUCACCUAAUAAGAUGUGCUGUGAAGAAACUAUCUCUUGCCCCAAAGUUCUUACCUUGAUGGACAUACAGCUAAGUCAAUGUAACGGAUGAGGCUGUGAGAGGAUAGUGAUGACAUGAUCCAUCUCUCUCUAAGACCACCAUCAAUAACGCAGCAAUGAGGGCCAUGGCUCCCUCAGCCUUGGGAAGUCUGCAAAAGCUAAUACAAAAUGUGCCAUUUCCAAGUUAUUUUUGGAAACAGACACAAGGUAGAUGUUACCCCCGCCCUGCUUCCCUAAGGCACAGAGGCUGGAAAGGAUUCACAGGCUCUGUUGGAUUCACCAUAAUUGGAAACCAAACCCUCAAUAAUAACCCCAGGAAUCCCCAGGAAGAUGCCAACAUGAGAAGGAAGGAUUCCGUUUUCGAGAGAAGGCCCUUGGCCUUACCCAUCUUGAUGACGUGUCGGCUGGCUGGAGAUGCCCAAGUUAGCGGAUCUGUUUCCUCCCUUCCAUCCCCCUCAAGUUGUUGUCUGCAAGGAAGCCUGGAUCUCAGCUAUUUGAAACUACUCAAUUAAUGGAGAAUGUUGGAAUCUACUCAACACUAAAUCUACUUUAUAACUUUUUAAUAUCUUUCAUCUGGUGUCUCAAACUUCUUUAAAAGGAAAAGAAUUUCAGCCCUGUCAGAUGGCAUCAGUAAUUACAAAGGACUUUCCUUAAGAAGACACAGUCACUUCUCAUCAAUAAAUUAGUUUUUCCAAGAUCCCUGCCUAUGAUACCUGGGCAAAAUUUCUUGAAGACAAAUGCUAUUAUCCACAUCGGAGGAUGAAGCAGAACUUCAGACACCACUAUACUUGUUCCUGUGCCAAAUUAUGGAAUAAAUGUCUUACUUUUUGAAGCAGAAAGGAGUUUCAAUAGUCUGGCCAUAUCCAACAGGACAAACUCAACCUUUGUGAUGAUCCAGGCAAGCUCUGCAUGGGCGUGGAUGACACCAUGAUCCAGUGAAUCAAGUCCCCCAGGAAACCUGAAGCCGUCAACCAGACAGUGCUAAGGCGAAAGAGAUUCGCGUGGAGGGCAGCAUCUUGGUGGAGCCUAUUUAUAGGCAUAUACAUGAAGAAGAGGUCAAGGAAAUCUUUUUUGGUCAACUCGCCAAAGCUUUCAGUUACAUCUAGUUAUGAUGGGGCAUUUAAGUCCGUUACAUUCUGGGAAAACAAUUCGACUGACCACAGACCACCAAGUAGCUUUUGGAACUACCCUAGAGAGAAUUUCCCGCUUUAGGAUGUUAGAGGACUCCAAGAGAACAGAGGCUGUAACUAAUCUGACCCUUAUCAGGAAGAAAUAGUGGGAGAUUUAAAGACGAACCACUUGGAGGAGGAUGGUUUGGAGGAAUCAGUCAUGAAAUAACCAGAUGCAAUAUUUAAAGGGAAGGAAAAAAAGAGAAAUCGAAAAAAUAAAGAAAAGAGAUGGUCUAUGAGUUGAUAAUUGUCAAAGCUGGGUGGGUAUAUGUGGGAGUCCAUUAUACCAUUCUCUCUUUUUUUGGUAUAUAUUUAGGAUUUCCAAAAGCAGAAAUUUUAGAACCUGCCAUGAAAACAAACAAACCGAAAAUAAGACGACAAUAAGAGAAAGCUGAUGAACCAAGAGUUACCACCAUGCACAUAGUAUUUAAAAAUGUGCAGUCGAUGGUCAAUGCCAAAGAAACAGCUAAAAUGGGGAGAGGGAUACACAGUUGGAUCAGGGUCCUGAUGGUUUAUAUUAUCAGUCCAUUUGAUGUUUUCCUUUAUAAAAAUAAAAAGACAAAAAUAAAAAGUAGAGAAAUUCUGAGUGGAAGAUUAUUUUCAACCUAUAUUUUUACAUCCAUCCAAACCAUAAAAUAUGAGGGUUAAAUAAAAACAUUUUUAGGUAUACCACUACCUAAAACUAUGCCCCUCUGUACCCUCCUUAGACACCACUAAAGGGUGUGCUUCCUCAUGGAGAAGAUUCAAUCUAAGAAAGAGGAAGCUGCAAGAUCAAGGAGACUGGUGUCCCACGGGACGGUGACAGAGGAAGUCCCAGGAUGGAUUCCUCUGUGCUCAGAUGUAGGGAGCAACCAGGCCAGACUGCUCUACUGUUUCCAAACAUGACCCCUACCACCCCUCCACUUUUCCCACUACUCUAUUUCAGUGAAAUGUCAGGUGAGAUGGGAAAUCCAACGGGAUUGUGAGUCAUUGGCCUGGCAGACCUUAAUACGACUCCCAGUGAGGUGUCUUUCCGGAAAACAAGUUAACAGGAUUCCUAAGCAAAUGGGGAAUUGGAACUGUUUUCAAGAAACGAUAAAGGGUGCAUUCCUCAGGGGCAUGCCUGUGGAUGAGCAGACUUCCUGACCCAACCAAUCCAGGUGUAUUUGAGAGGGAGGGACCCGAAUGGGAGACAGGACCAGAUAGAGGCUGUCUGGAGCCCCCGCUCUCCUACCGUCUCCAUGAGGAAGAUGGCUCAUUUCACUAUGUCCCAUGGACUCUAUGGAGAGUAGCCAAGAGUGGGCCAUCAUGUUGGUGCUCCAUCCAAGAAGACUACCUACUGGGUGAAGAGAGCCCAGCAGCAAGAGCCAUGGGGUGUGCAGACUCGGGCAGGAGGUAUCAUGCCAGCAGGGGGCUGAGGUUGGUGUGGGGACAGGCCAAGUGGCAUCGGCUUGCCUACUGGGGAAAUGAGCAAUGAUCCUACCCUGCCCACAUGCAUACACUGAAGAAUUCAUACUGUGUCAGCAAGGGACCAGCAUUUAGACACCUGUAUCGAUGUACACCCCAGAAGAACAGCAACCCCCAACUGAAUAUUAAAAUUGCUUCCUCACAAAGUCACAGUCAAACCAGAUCCUAGAGAUAGGGUCUUAGUGAACAGCACAGUUCUAUAGUGGCAAACUUAAGAAGAUUCCACAGCACAGAAGAAAUAAGAAAUAUUAACGUUUUUCAAAUAUAUUAAAUAAAGGAAAAUCCCCAUCCCUGAAAGAAGAAAGCAGAAAAACAGAGUAUAUUUUUUUAAAUGUUUGAGUUCAUUAUUUUUGCUGAAGAACACUUCUUUCUGCAAACACCAAAUUUGCACAUUCCCGUGUGAGAUGCAUGGAUGAAAAGGCAGAUUACUAAAGGAAAAUGAAUAAUUGAAUAUCACCUUGCAAAGGAUCUGUUUCUUUAGGGGAGCCUGGUGGUGUACUCUCUGGGCCACAUUAGGCGUUGGCAGGCGUCACAAUGGGACAUGAGCCAUCAUGUGAGAAGUCCUAGAGGACAGGGGAGAUCUAUUGCGGAUCUGGAAAGAAACGGUGUGACCAUCUUUUAAAAGAGGUGGGCUAGGACCUGAUUACAGACUGCUCAUCUUGGAAUGAACAUCCGGGAAGAUACUGGGACAAAUCAUUGCAUCAUUAAUUGGCCAUCAACUAGGAGGGCAGAAGACACUAGGAAGGAACCAGUAAAUGUUUUCUGAAAGGGCAAAUGGACUCGGCAUAAUUCAAGGCCCCACUCUAAGUCUUAAAGUGCAGCAUGGCCCCGGGAGAUGGGCCUGGGACUCAAGCACUGUGGGUGCCAGGGAAUUUGCUGGCAUACAAGUGAACUAUCAUAGGGCAUUGUGAGCCAUCCCGUAGUUACUAUAAACAGUGUAUUUAGACACAAAACCAAUUUCAGCAAAUCUUUCCAAAUGUGAAGGAUAAAUGACAGACAUAUAUAAUAGGAUAUGAGAUUCGAAGAGCAAACCCUAGCAAGACUGCCCCUGAACAGCUGGAGCAAAGAGCGUUCUAGGGCCACACAGGGGGCACCAGUCUCCAGACAUGCAGCUAUUUGUUGUGUACACCAACCAGAGGGGCCCAGAAAUGCAGAUGCAACCACAGCAAUCACGAGGAGGGCAGGCACAUUGCAAAGUGAAUGUUGGACAAGAAUUGCCCUGUAGCAUUUUUAUUAUUCUGUUUAGUCACAAUAAAAAAAAAAUAGCUGACGUUAAGUAGAAUUUCUAAUCUACCAAAUAAGUUUCUAAGCACUUUGAUCUUUUAACUCAUAUAAUCUGGUAACAGGUGGGACUCUUAUUAUCUCCAUUUACAAAUGGGGAAACUGAGGCUCUGAGAAGUAAAGCAGUUUUUUCAUUGUCAUUCAGCCGGUGAGCAGCCAGCAGGAGCACUGUCAGCUAAAAUUAAAGAACACAACGGAACUUUCUGUUCUUUAAUGUUUCUCCAACUUAUUCACAUGAACUGUUGAUAUAUCUGACUGACUAUAAUUAAAUAUAACAUUUUGUGCUAGAUCAAAUCGUACAUUUGCUUUUACUCCAACUUCUAGUAUAAAAAAGCAACAGGUAUCAGAGAAAAUUAAAAAGCAUUUUUAUAGGAGAAUGACACAAAAGUUAAAGACAUUCAAGCUAUCACUUUCGUUUUUUUCUACACUUGGGAACAUCUGGCCACAGGCUGCCCCGGACCAGGGUUCAGUGCCAGUGAAGCAGGGCCUGAAAACAAGGCUUCUACGAUCUGAACUUGGGCACACAGACUAACGUGUUUCUGCAACUCAUAGUCUCUCCUGGUAAAGGAAUUACGGAUCUGGUGCCGGCUGUUGGUUGGCAGAACAUGCAGAGGCGGAUCCAAGGGCGGAGAGGCACCAGGAGAAGGCAGGUCUGGUCAGGCUUAGAGCAUGUCCCUUGCCUCCUCCAGCUCUGGGAUAUCCCCGGGUGUUGUGCGUGUUACCGUGUGCAUCCACAUGCACUGAAAUUAUCACCCUAACUGGGUAGAUAAGCCCCCCAGUGGGGCCUUCAAGCUCACAACCAGCGCUUUCCAUGUUUUCGCAUCUCCCGGUGGGAGCCCCUGUGGGUGUCCUCCAGGCUGGGAACAGGAGCCGAUGGAUGAGCACAACACCCACAGCGGGAGAUUACACCUGGACAUGACUGUGCUCCUUUGCCUUUCCCACAUUUUACAACAAAAUUUGAUAAAAAGGUAGAAGGCACUCACUCAGUCAAUGUUAUGCCUCCUCGAGGCUCUAGUCACAAAGGGAACCUUCAGAACACACAAAGCAGUUGGAGUUAGAUGAAGGCAGACACCUGUCAUCAUCC